AUGCGGUUUGGAACGCAGCCCCAGGUGUCCUUAACCUCCAGCGCCUUUCGUCCUCUCGUGCACGCGCACGAAUGCACGUCUGAGGCGGGAUCCUGUUACCAUGGCAAUUACGUCAACAUUGGUGUCGCGCGCGUGCGGUCGGGUAACUAAAGGUCAAACUAAAGACAAGCGACAGAGACGGAAGGAAGGAGAAUGGCGGAGACUCGGAAUUUGUGGCAGGGAGAACUGGAGGAAAUAAAAGAGUCAUAAAGUGUAGUGUAACCCGCGCUGAGUGCUGUGGAGAGGAGGAGAGGAGAGAGAGGAGGCGAACGGAAGGAGUAAAUGUUCAGAUGGAGAUCCUCAUCAUGUUCCUGGUUUAAAGGCAGAACGGGUCUAACUGUGUGUUUGGACUGCGCUUUGCUCUUUAGAUGGUGGCCCACGCUGCACUUUCACCCAUCUAAUUACUUCUCUUUUUUUCCUGUGUGAACAUGGACUGCACAUAUAGAUUGUGUGUGUGUGUGUGUGAGAGAGAGAGAGAGAGAGAACUGAGCCGGUUGUUCGUGACUGUAAACAUCCCCGACUGGAAGCUGUGUGUGAAGUGUUGAGCUUUCAGUUGGAUGUUUGCUGCCACUGACCACCACCACCACCACCACCACCACCAUCAGCCAUACUUUCUGGGGCGUUUCCAUUUGACUACUACAUAUCUUCAUGUUCAUCAGGCCGUGCAGAAUCCAAUCCGAGUGUGAAGCUGUUUAAAGAGAUACAAAGUGCUCAGAUUGUCCUGAAACAAGUGCAAGUUUGUAGAAAGAACAGAGGACAGAGUGCACCUCCUGAGUGUUACAAACACUAUAAAGGACAUUAAAAAAAAAAAAAAUCAUUUAUUUCCCUCUUCUUCUUCUUCUUCUUCUGGUGCGUGAUUAGUGACCGUCCAGCUGCAGUCACUGUAAACAUCCUACACUCAGCUUUAGUGCGGAUGAAUCGCUGAGAGGAGGGUGUUUGCUUUGACUGGUUGGAGAGCCACUGAGAUGCAGAUUGAGGAAGAAAUGGAUAUGAGCACGUAGUUGUAUAAACCUUUUAAUCAGAACGGUGUCACUUUUUUAUGAUUGAUGACCCGAAUAAACUUUUUUUUUUUUUUUUUU
Long non-coding RNA from Ictalurus punctatus (channel catfish), 1118 nucleotides. RefSeq lists it as uncharacterized. The transcript is spliced from 2 exons. The record is from RefSeq and is a predicted model, not a curated record. Lineage: Eukaryota; Metazoa; Chordata; Actinopteri; Siluriformes; Ictaluridae.